RNAcentral lists this ribosomal RNA (428 nucleotides) under uncultured archaeon. Its description in RNAcentral is "bacterial SSU rRNA". It matches the Rfam family "Archaeal small subunit ribosomal RNA", at positions 474 to 903 of the family's 1478-position model. The record is from RNAcentral.
UACCAGCUCUCCGAGUGGUGUGGAUGUUUAUUUGGCCUAAAGCAUCCGUAGCUGGCUGGACAAGUCCCCUGUUAAAUCCACCGAUUCAAUCGUUGGAGUGCGGGGGAUACUGUUCGGCUAGGGGACGGGAGAGGCAGACGGUAUUUUUUGGGUAGGGGUGAAAUCCUAUAAUCCCAGGAAGACCACCAGUGGCGAAGGCUGUCUGCUAGAACGCGCCCGACGGUGAGGGAUGAAAGCUGGGGGAGCGAACCGGAUUAGAUACCCGGGUAGUCCCAGCUGUAAACGAUGCAGGCUAGGUGUUUGGACGGCCACGCGCCGUUCUAGUGCCGCAGGGAAGCCGUUAAGCCUGCCGCCUGGGGAGUACGGCCGCAAGGCUGAAACUUAAAGGAAUUGGCGGGGAGCACCACAAGGGGUGAAGCUUGCGGUUU